RNAcentral lists this long non-coding RNA (1034 nucleotides) under Equus asinus (donkey). RNAcentral describes it as "lncRNA (ENSEASG00005030188.1)". The record is from RNAcentral. Lineage: Eukaryota; Metazoa; Chordata; Mammalia; Perissodactyla; Equidae.
AGUGGUUCUGAAGCUUUAGCAGGCAUUAGAAUCACCUGGAGAGCUUGUUCACGGCAGAUUACUAGGUCCUAGCCUCAGAGUUCCUGAUCCCGUAGGUCUGGGGUAAAACCCAAGAAUUUGCGUUUCAAGCAAGUUCCCUGGUGAUACUAAAGCUGCUCGUCUAGAGAUGAUGCUUUGUGAACCAAACCAUGUCAUCGCUGACAUUUUGAGACGUUACAGCAUUGGGUACACUGGCCGAGUGCCAUCAAUUCUGCACAUUAAUGCAGUAAAUCGAGUUAGAGAAGCCUGUAUUCCAGAAGAAAAUGCUCUAGUCUGAGAUAUCAGUCUGUGUAAAAGAUUCGAAAACUGAAAAUUAGACAAGGAACCUGAAUUGCAGCGCCAAGAGAGAAGUAUGGAUUCCAGAUGUUGAUUUUGGAAUCAUCAGUAGAGGAUGUUUACUGAAACAUGUGAACGGAAGUGUUUUCUCCAGAAGAGAGAUUAAAGAAUGAAAAUAGAGGUCUAUGGGGAGAGAAUCCUUGAAAGGAAACUGAGAAGUACUGAAGAAAGUUGUAUGUAUGUAGGAGGAAACCCAGAUGAGAGUCGUGUCCGAAAAACUGCGAGAGAAGGAGUUGAGGAAGGGGAGGGAGUGGCCCAUAUGUCACAGGCUGGAGAGAAACCUUCAGAAAUAAAAACUGAAAUGUGGCCCAUGUAUUUCAUGAAUUUAGCAGCUAGGUCUCUGGGUCCGUGGCAGAAGCAGUUUCCUGAACUGGUGGAGACAGUCAGCUUACAAGGCACCAAGGAGUGAACAGAACAUGCAAUGAUAGGAAAUAAGAACCUUUGUUCCUAAGGAUAAAAAGAUAAGGUCGUAUCCAGAGGUGGGACUGUGGAUUGUCAAUGUUGUUGUUUUAAGAAGGCAAAUAUUUGAGUAUGCUUAUGAAAGAAAAGGCUAUUGUGGUGAGGGGGAGGUUGAAAUGGCAGGGUAUGGGAGUGAGAGCCUAACAAUGGAUUUCGUUAUCUACAGUAAAGCUGUGCAUUGUGGUCGGCAGAGCCAUGCC